CCCACUCUUGAGUAUGACCCGCAUCGGUGUAUCCCCCUACUAUAGCUUAUGUAUGGGAGAGAGAUA
Molecule: ribosomal RNA, 66 nt
Filed under: Trichoderma intricatum
Lineage: Eukaryota; Fungi; Ascomycota; Sordariomycetes; Hypocreales; Hypocreaceae
Description: partial 28S ribosomal RNA
Source: RNAcentral